Molecule: long non-coding RNA, 1977 nt
Organism: Rosa rugosa (rugosa rose)
Lineage: Eukaryota; Viridiplantae; Streptophyta; Magnoliopsida; Rosales; Rosaceae
Exons: 5
Source: RefSeq, a predicted model, not a curated record
UAAAGAUAAGAAGACAAUUUUAACCUCUAAAUAUCUCACAUCCCUCAUCCCUCAGAUCGUAGCUAACUCCACCCACGUCGUCACCUUCAUCGAGCUGCCGCUGAAACCCACCGGAUGGACCAACUGGACCAUCAACCCCGCCGGCACCGGCAAUGGCCACUGGUUGUCGUCUUCACCCGGCCGGGUUCCACUACGUCAACUCGCGCCUCUAGUCCUUGCACGAGCUCGAUAGCCUCCUCGCCGGCGCUCCGAUCAACUCUCUCUCUCUCUCUCUCUCUCUCUCAUUUGGUUAUAGUUUAUUUGAAAUUUGUGCUUCUUUGUGCAGUACUGCAGUUACGAGGGAGGAGGUGAAGGGAAAUUUCAUUUUGUUAUUACCAGGUUUGAGAUCUCUGGUAUAGUGGUGCUUCAAAUUCGAAAAUAUGCUUUGAUAGUUCUUGAUUUUUCAGGGGUAGAAUUUGGAUGCAGGCUGGUUUCAGAAGCAACCCUGCAACCAAUGACUGGAUUCUCAAGACGGAUGAAGAUCAAUCUGGUAUGGGUUUAGAUUAAUUGUUAGUGACUGUAACUAAUAGUAAUUAAGCAUGUAAUGGACAUAUCGAAGAAGUGGGAAUGUUCCAUAUUUUAAUAGUACCAUGUUUCUUUCUUCUAUAUGAUGAUCACCAGGUCUUCGUUUCCUCAAAGCUAGCCAAAUGGAAGUGAAACUGAGAGUUGUGCAUUGCUCAUAAAAACAUUUCAGCUUUUGCUUCCAGGGCGGAAGUAGUUUUUGAGGAACUUAAGAAGAGCUGUAAGGUAGCACAGGAAGGGCGAGUCCAUCACCACGGUCGCCUACUUGGAUUCGGCCGGAAUGGAAUCAUACCCUUGCCACGACAUUCAGUUCCUUGAUUUCGAGGGUUUCUCUAGUUUCCAGUAAUGCCCUCUUCAGGUUAUCAGUAGAAGAGAUUGUUUUUUAUAGCAAUCAUGAGUUCGAGCAGUGGAAUGAGAACCGACCUGUGCCAAGGUCUUGAUGUGUUCAGAAGCACCACUAUGAACAGGCGACGCAGGGCAUUGCAUAUAUAUAGGAGUGGUCUACUUGGUGAUGAUCACAGCUUCGCCCAAUCUAGAGGUUCACGAGCUGGAUGAGCUACCGGAGCAGUGGCGGAGGUUCAAGCUGGCUUGGCUUUGUAAGGAGCUGCCGUCGCAUAAUUCCGGGGCUUUGAUUCAGAUUCUCAAUGCCCAGAAGAAGUGGAUGAGGCAAGAGGAUGCCAAGAACUCUGGGAGUGCUUUCUAGUGGAACAGAAAUAGCCGUGAAAAGACUGAGCAAAAAUUCUGGCCAGGGAUGAAGAGUUCAAGAAUGAAGUUGUGCUGAUUGCAAAACUUCAACACAGGAACCUUGUGAGAAUCUUAGGCUAUUGCGUUCAAGAUGAAGAGAAGAUGCGAAUCUAUGAAUACCUGCCUAACAAAAGUCUGGACUCGUUCAUAUUCAGUAUGUCUUCCACUUGCUGCAGUACCAUAAAUUAAGUUAAAGCAAGCAAGAAAGUUAUAUAAUCUAAAAACAUAUUCCAGAUGAAAUGAAAAGGACAUCUCUGGAUUGGACAAGACGCUUGGAGAUUAUCUUUGGCAUUGCUAGAGGGAUCUUAUAUCUUCAUCAAGAUUCGAGAUUAAGAAUCAUCCACAGAGACCUAAAGGCCAACAAUAUUCUACUGGAUUAUGAUAUGGACCCCAAAAUUGCAGAUUUUGGUAUGGCUAGAAUAUUCGGGCAAACGAAAUUGAAGCAAAUACAAAUCGCGUAGUUGGAACAUAGUAAGUUUCCUCCAAUUUGAUCGAUAUCAUACUUAAUUUUCAGUCCUAAUUAGUCAUGUGUUAUUUCAUUUCCUCCAAGUUAUGACCACAAGCUAAAUGAAUGUAAUCAAUUUGAAAACACAACCUCAACAAGUACACAAUCCAAAGACAACAAAUUUGGUUAACUAUAUAAUGAAAGAAGUUUACUUAAUAAUCACUUUU